CUCGGCUGACGGCUCAGUAACACGUGGAUAAUCUGCCCUUAGGUGGAGGAUAAUCUCGGGAAACUGAGGAUAAUACUCCAUAGAUCUAGGAUGCUGGAAUGCAUCUAGAUUGAAAGCUCCGGCGCCUAAGGAUGAGUCUGCGGACUAUCAGGUUGUAGUCAGGGUAAAGACCUGACUAGCCUAUGACGGAUACGGGUUGUGAGAGCAAUAACCCGGAGACGAUAUCUGAGACACGAUAUCGGGCCCUACGGGGCGCAGCAGGCGCGAAAACUUCACACUGUGCGAAAGCGCGAUGAGGGAAUCCCAAGUGUUUGCUCGUAAGAGUAAACUGUUUCUUUGUUUAAAACGCAGAGAGAGUAAGGGCUGGGUAAGACGGGUGCCAGCCGCCGCGGUAAUACCUGCAGCUCAAGUGGUGAUCAUUAUUAUUGGGCCUAAAACGUCCGUAGCCGGUUUGGUAAAUGCCUGGGUAAAUCGUGUAGCUUAACUAUACGAAUUCCGGGUAGACUGCCAAACUUGAGACCGGGAGAGGCUAGAGGUACUCCUGGGGUAGAGGUGAAAUCUGUAAUCCUAGGGGGACCACCAGUGGCGAAGGCGUCUAGCUAGAACGGGCCUGACGGUCAGGGACGAAGCCCUGGGGCGCGAACCGGAUUAGAUACCC
Molecule: ribosomal RNA, 658 nt
Filed under: uncultured archaeon
Lineage: Archaea
Description: bacterial SSU rRNA
Rfam family: Archaeal small subunit ribosomal RNA
Source: RNAcentral